Andrographis paniculata is the source of this 3893-nucleotide RNA transcript. It is a transcript of the gene named protein FLOWERING LOCUS D, with no coding region annotated. The transcript has 6 exons. Lineage: Eukaryota; Viridiplantae; Streptophyta; Magnoliopsida; Lamiales; Acanthaceae. The record is from RefSeq and is a predicted model, not a curated record.
GGGCAACAUGCAAAUAUUGGCAAGACGACACUCCCAAAGCAAAUGCCUCUUUCAAUUCGUUGGCGUUAGGGUUUCCAAUCUUGAUCUCCGUUCUGAAAGCUUCCAUGGAUUCAUCAAACGAAACUCCUCAUCAUCAUCAUCCCCGCAUCACGAUUCAGCCCGAAAAUCCUCUCCAGUUCACAAUCCAUUUACCCCAGCCCUCAAAUUCCAGUGGCACCGUUUUUCAAACCCCCAUUUCGGGGGAGAACAACCCCACUUCAAGUUCCAAUUCACUUUCCGAUCACUUCUUCUAUGCGCCGAUCCCUAAACGGAGGAGAUGCGGCCGGCCAAGGAAUCCGGCGAGGAAUUUCUCCUCAGCUUCCGUCGUCAAUCGAUUGGGCGAUGUUAGGGUUUCGCCGGCGGGAUCGACUUUCGGUCAGGCGAGGAGCGCCGAUGCGACUCCGGCAGUGGCCGCAAAGGUACAAAUGGAUAAUUCAAGUAAUUUAGUGGCUAAAAAUCAUGUUGCUAUUUCGAGUUCUGGUAAUUUAGGGAAGAAAGCAGCUGACGAUAUGUCGGAGGAGAUAAUUGUGAUUAAUAAGGAGGCGACGUCGGAGGCGUUGAUCGCAUUGACGGCGGGUUUUCCGGCGGAUUCCUUAACGGAGGAGGAGAUUGAAUACGGGGUAGUGUCUGUAGUAGGUGGGAUUGAACAGGUUAACUACAUUUUGAUUAGGAAUCACAUAAUUCGACGGUGGCGUGAAAACGUAUCGAUUUAUAUAACAAAGGAGAUGUUUAUCGACAUUGUGCCGAAGCAUUGUGGGAAGCUUUUGGACACGGCGUACGGAUACUUAGUUUCGCACGGUUACAUUAACUUCGGAGUGGCGCCGGCGAUAAAAGAGAGGGUUUCUCCGGAGCCGCGGCCGUUAAAUGUGAUAGUAAUCGGAGCCGGACUCGCGGGAUUAGGCGCUGCAAGGCAAUUAAUGGCGUUUGGAUUUAAAGUAACGGUUUUGGAGGGGAGAAAGCGGCCGGGAGGGAGAGUUUACACGAAGAAAUUGGAGGGUAGUAAUAUGGUUGCGGCAGCUGAUUUAGGGGGGAGUGUGUUGACGGGUACUUUAGGUAAUCCGUUAGGGAUUUUAGCGCGGCAAUUGUCGUUUACGCUUCAUAAGGUGAGGGAUAAGUGUCCGUUGUACAGAGUGGACGGAACGCCGGUCGAUCCUGAUUUGGAUAGAAGGGUCGAGAAUUCGUUUAAUCAGCUUUUGGAUAAAUUGAGUAAGCUGAGGCUGUCGAUGGGCGAGGUUUCUCAAGAUGUUUCUCUCGGCGCGGCAUUGGAGACUUUUAGGGAGGAUUUUAGCGAUGAGGAAAUGGCGAUGUUUAGUUGGCAUCUCGCGAAUUUGGAAUACGCAAACGCCGGUUUAAUUUCGAAUCUUUCGCUUGCGUUUUGGGAUCAGGAUGAUCCGUACGAUAUGGGAGGGGAUCAUUGUUUUUUGCCGGGUGGAAAUGGGCGGCUCGUGCAGGCGUUGGCGGAGGGGGUCCCGAUUCAUUACGAGAAAACGGUGCAAGCGAUUCGGUACGGUAGUAAUGGGGUUAAGGUUGCGGUUAGCGGGGGCCAAAUUUACGAGGCGGAUAUGGCGCUUUGCACUGUGCCUUUAGGGGUUUUGAAAAAUGGUUCGAUAAAGUUUAUACCUGAGUUGCCACAGAGGAAGCUCGACGCGAUAAGGAGGUUGGGUUUUGGGUUGUUAAAUAAGGUGGCAUUGCUUUUUCCUUAUCCGUUUUGGGGGAACCAUCUCGAUACAUUUGGUCAUCUCUCUGAUCAUCCGAGCCGCCGGGGCGAGUUCUUUCUGUUUUAUAGCUAUGCGACGGUAGCUGGUGGUCCUAUUUUGAUUGGUUUGGUGGCAGGAGAAGCUGCUUAUAAGUUUGAAGUUAUGGAGCCGACUGAUGCUGUGGAAAGGGUGCUUCGGAUUCUUAGAGAUAUUUAUGAACCGCAAGGCAUUCAAGUUCCGGAUCCCGUCCAAACUGUAUGUACAAGAUGGGGCACCGAUCCCUUGAGCUGCGGUUCUUACUCCAAUGUUGCAGUUGGUGCAUCGGGAGACGACUAUGAUAUCCUAGCAGAAAACGUUGGAGAUGGAAGACUUUUCUUUGCCGGGGAGGCUACAAACAGGCGUUAUCCUGCAACAAUGCACGGUGCUUUUCUUAGCGGAUUUAGAGAAGCCGCAAACAUAGCUCAUCACGCGAAAGUUAGGUCCUUGAGGUUAAAAGUCGAGAAAAACCCCUCUCAAAACGCACACACUUGUGCUUCGAUUCUUGCAGAUUUGUUCAGGCAGCCCGAUCUGGAAUUCGGUGGCUUUGCUGUACUCUUUGGAAGAAAGAAUGCUGAUUCAAUGGCGAUUCUACGAGUGACGUUUGGCGGGCACCGGAAAAAACCGGAUCAGCAAUAUACUAAUAAGCUGCUUUUCGAGCAGCUUCAGUCUCACUUUAAUCAGCAGCUGGAGUUUCAUAUUUAUACGGUAUUAAGCAAGCAACAAGCACUUGAUCUGAGAGAGGUGAGAGGGGGCGACGAGGGUCGAUUGAAUUACCUUGAGAAAAUCGGGAUUAAGUUGAUUGGAAGAAAGGGUUUGGGGCCGUAUGCAGAUUCUGUAAUUGCUUCAAUUAAAGCCGAGAGGAGUGGCCACAGGCGCACCCGAAUUAACAAGACAUCAUCAUCUGGUUUGACCAAGUUGAAAGCUUCGUCUCCUAAUCAAAAGCUAAUUAGACGAGCUAAAAUUGUGGGCAGCAGCAAAGUGUCUUCCACUCUGAGCACAGUUAGAGUCAGUAAUUCGGGUACAGAUGUCGAUGCUAGAGUGCUCGCCGCAAGUAAUGGCUUGGCUUAUCCAAGCUCAAAUAUUCGGGUGCUCGCAUCCAGCAGUAGUCGGGAAUUACCUCCAAAUUCUGGUUCUGGCGCCGACUCAGCCGCUGAUAUUAGAAGAACCAUACCCCAUGAUUCAAUUCAAACUAAUUUUUCGACGCUUCCUUCUACCGAGUCAAAUGCAUCGAAUAGCCCGGCACUUCCAACAUCGAAUGUUGGUAUGAUGCUAUUGAGCGAUGUACAAGGUUAUAACCCUCAAAAUAAUUCGAUGAGAUUCUCGAACACUAAUGGAAACCUGUCUCUACCAUUAGAUAUUCAAGCGCAGAACUGUACGAGCAGAUUAGAAGGGAAUAGUAGUGUUUCGGCACCCUCAAACUAUGUCUGCAGUAACGGACCAGCUUCUGAAAUCGAGACUAGAUUAGUCGACAACUGUAGCAGCCCAGCACCCUCGAAUCUGAUUAUUGGAGGAGACUUUAACAAUGAAAACUUUUCCGGGGAUAUUUCGGAUGGCAUUAGCUUUAUAUCUAAUCAAGACAAUAUAUUUGAAGAUAUAAUGAACGACCUGCUUCCUGCUACGGGCUCAAACUCUGGAACUUGGCAUUCCACCGGAAAAUUGUAGGAGUCAAAUUUGGUAUGAAGGCAUUUUACCUGGUGAGAGCCAGGGCUACAUAUUGCGGCAUUUCGAUGCUGUUAUUACACUUAUUCCGACUUGUUUGGUUUAAUUGAGCGAUGGGAAGAGAGGAAAGCUAGCCUUUUAUAAUUUUUUUCUCUGAGGGAGCUCGACCAAAUGCAUUUUGAAUUGGAUGUGGAAACCAUGGGUUUGCGCCACGACUGUGUCCAUGCUAAACCGAGCAAGUUGAAAACUGGAAGAGAUAUGAUGAUGGAUUGAGCUCGCAAAUUGGAGAUUGUACCUCAUUCGAUUUUAUCUUGAUAAUGUGUAGUUGCUACAUAUCCUAACGAUGUUACGAGAAUCAAAUUUUGUACCGCCUUUUGAACCUCGACCGUUGAUAGAGCGCGCCUGUAGGACAUACGGCCGAAAAAUUACUAAAAGAACAUAGCUUAAUUUACUCAAAAA